UUUGAUGCUUAUCUCAUGUUUUUUUAACUAAUGUAUUUGCUAAUAAUUCUGGGUAAAAUUUUUAUUUUUUUUUAAAUUAGAAGAUGUAUAUUUUAUAUAAUCAAAAUAAGCAAGCAGCACGCAUGCAAGACAUCUACAUCACACAAAUGUGAGAAAACUAUCAACACACAGACGAAGCUAUUAACCAAACAAAAGUGGAAAAACUACCUGCAUACAGGCGUGACACUUGAGCUAGGGGAAGAUGAUGAAGAUGAUCAAUUCAAAGUGGGAUU
RNAcentral lists this long non-coding RNA (272 nucleotides) under Salvia miltiorrhiza (redroot sage). RNAcentral describes it as "long non-coding RNA (SMIL_LNC010882)". The record is from RNAcentral. Lineage: Eukaryota; Viridiplantae; Streptophyta; Magnoliopsida; Lamiales; Lamiaceae.